This 349-nucleotide ribosomal RNA is filed under the name uncultured Pseudomonas sp. Its description in RNAcentral is "bacterial SSU rRNA". It matches the Rfam family "Bacterial small subunit ribosomal RNA", at positions 1034 to 1382 of the family's 1533-position model. Lineage: Bacteria; Pseudomonadati; Pseudomonadota; Gammaproteobacteria; Pseudomonadales; Pseudomonadaceae. The record is from RNAcentral.
ACAGGUGCUGCAUGGCUGUCGUCAGCUCCGUGUCGUGAGAUGUUGGGUUAAGUCCCGUAACGAGCGCAACCCUUGUCCUUAGUUACCAGCACGUUAUGGUGGGCACUCUAAGGAGACUGCCGGUGACAACCGGAGGAAGGUGGGGAUGACGUCAAGUCAUCAUGGCCCUUACGGCCUGGGCUACACACGUGCUACAAUGGUCGGUACAAAGGGUUGCCAAGCCGCGAGGUGGAGCUAAUCCCAUAAAACCGAUCGUAGUCCGGAUCGCAGUCUGCAACUCGACUGCGUGAAGUCGGAAUCGCUAGUAAUCGUGAAUCAGAAUGUCACGGUGAAUACGUUCCCGGGCCUU